Molecule: ribosomal RNA, 114 nt
Filed under: Periophthalmus magnuspinnatus
Lineage: Eukaryota; Metazoa; Chordata; Actinopteri; Gobiiformes; Gobiidae
Source: RNAcentral
UGGCCAUACCAGCUUGUAAAAGACUGAUCUCGACAAAUCUUAGAAGCUAAGCAAGGGCGUACCUGGAUUAGUACUUGGCUGGUAGACUGCAGGGAAUAUCAGGUGCUACAAAAG